This 76-nucleotide transfer RNA is filed under the name Anaerolineaceae bacterium. RNAcentral describes it as "tRNA-Trp". It matches the Rfam family "tRNA". Rfam says of the family: Transfer RNA (tRNA) molecules are approximately 80 nucleotides in length. Their secondary structure includes four short double-helical elements and three loops (D, anti-codon, and T loops). Lineage: Bacteria; Bacillati; Chloroflexota; Anaerolineae; Anaerolineales; Anaerolineaceae. RNAcentral also lists the same sequence under 1 other name. The record is from RNAcentral.
AGGGGAGUAGCUCAACUGGCAGAGUGGCGGUCUCCAAAACCGUAGGUUCCGGGUUCGAUUCCUGGCUCCCCUGCCA